This 351-nucleotide unclassified non-coding RNA is filed under the name soil metagenome. Its description in RNAcentral is "partial contains 5.8S ribosomal RNA, internal transcribed spacer 2, and large subunit ribosomal RNA". The stretch from base 1 to 119 matches the Rfam family "5.8S ribosomal RNA", at positions 35 to 154 of the family's 154-position model. The record is from RNAcentral.
GAUGAAGAACGUAGCGAAAUGCGAUAGUAAUGUGAAUUGCAGAAUUCAGUGAAUCAUCGAAUCUUUGAACGCACAUUGCGCCCGCCAGUAUUCUGGCGGGCAUGCCUGUUCGAGCGUCAUUACAACCCUCAGGCCCCCGGGCCUGGCGUUGGGGAUCGGCGGAGCCCCCCGUGGGCACACGCCGUCCCCCAAAUGCAGUGGCGGUCCCGCCGCAGCUUCCAUCGCGUAGUAGCUAACACCUCGCGACUGGAGAGCGGCGCGGCCACGCCGUAAAACACCCAACUCUUCUGAAGUUGACCUCGAAUCAGGUAGGAAUACCCGCUGAACUUAAGCAUAUCAAUAAGCGGAGGA